CGAGUGCCCCAAGCGUUAUCCGGAAUCAUUGGGCGUAAAGGGUGUGUAGGUGGUGUUGUUAGUCUUCUGUUAAAUUCUUCGGCUCAACCGGGGUCCUGCAGAAGAAACGGCAAUACUAGAGGAUGUUAGGGGUGUACGGAACUCAUGGAGUAGGGGUGAAAUCCGUUGAUAUCAUGGGGAACACCGAAAGCGAAGGCAGUACACUGGAGCAUUCCUGACACUGAAACACGAAAGCGUGGGUAGCGAACGGGAUUAGAUACCCCGGUAGUCCACGCCCUAAACGUUCUUCACUAGCUUUGGGGGGAAUCGACCCCCUCCGAGGCGAAGCUAACGCGUUAAGUGAAGCGCCUGGGUAGUACGGCCGCAAGGCUA
RNAcentral lists this ribosomal RNA (372 nucleotides) under uncultured organism. Its description in RNAcentral is "bacterial SSU rRNA". It matches the Rfam family "Bacterial small subunit ribosomal RNA", at positions 526 to 896 of the family's 1533-position model. The record is from RNAcentral.